RNAcentral lists this unclassified non-coding RNA (3552 nucleotides) under Haliotis rufescens (red abalone). RNAcentral describes it as "luc7-like protein 3, transcript variant X7". The record is from RNAcentral. Lineage: Eukaryota; Metazoa; Mollusca; Gastropoda; Lepetellida; Haliotidae.
UGAGGACAUUAUGCAGGUUGUCUUCAUCCUGUAGAAAAUAUUCAAUCAUGGCGGCUGGCGCGGCUGCGGCCCUGUUGGAUGAAUUGAUGGGGCGAGAUCGGAAUCUCGCCCCGUCAGAACAGAGAAGUGAGACACAUUGGAGUGAUCCUGAGGUAUGCAAGUAUUUUUUGUGUGGAUUUUGCCCACAUGAGCUGUUUGUCAACACCCGUGCAGAUUUAGGUCCCUGUGAUAAGAUUCAUGAUGAUCUUUUGCGGAAAGAAUAUGUGAAGAGUACACGGUUUGAGAGGAUGGGUUAUGAGGAUGAUUUCAUGAGGUUCUUACAAGGUCUUAUAUCUGAUGUUGAGAAGCGAAUACGCAGAGGACAUAUGCGGCUUGCAUUGAACAGCACACAGGGAUCUCUCAAUGGUAACUUACCAUCUCAGAAAGAAGAAAAAAUAACCAUGCUUACAGAGAAAAUAAAUGAACUUGUCAAUCAGGCUGAACAGCUGGGCUGUGAGGGAAAGGUGGAAGAGGCACAAGGGGUGAUGAAACUCUGUGAUCAGCUCAGAGAAGAACGAAGACAGUUGGAAAAUAACGAGACGGGUGCGUAUUACACUGAUCCUGAGAAGACCCUGGAAGUGUGUGGAUGUUGCUCUGCUUUGUUAGUUGUUGGGGAUGCCCAACAGCGCAUCGAUGAACACUUAAUGGGGAAACAACAUAUGGGGUAUGCCAGAAUCCGUGCCUUUUUAGAAGAACACAAACAGAAAAAAAUACAAGCAGAUAUGGAUGAGAGAGAAGCCAAAGAGGCUAAACUGGCACAGGAACGAGAAGAAAGGGAAAAAGAGAGGGAAAAAGAAAGGGAAGAUAGACGUAAAAAGGAAAAAGAGAAAGAAGAUGAAAAGAAGCGUGAACGGGAAAAGGAGCGAGAGAAAAGGAGGAAGCGAAGCAGGUCUCGCAGUAGGCGGUCACGAAGUAGAGAAAGAAGAUCACGUAGCCGUGACAGAAGAAGAAGCUCAAGUCGAGACAGAAAAAGAAGAUCUCGUAGUCGUAGCCGACAUCGUCACAGGUCUCGAAGUCGAGACCGUCAUAAGUCUAGCCGUCACCGAUCCAGAUCAAGAAGUAGAGGUCGCAGGUCAAGAAGCAGAGAUCGGAGGUCAAGGAGUAGAGGCCACAGGUCACGUAGCAGGGAUCGCAGGUCACGUAGCAGAGGAAAGAGUCGACGUUCACGAAGUAGAGAUAAACGUUCUCGCAGUAGGGACAAGAGCUCGAGGAAACGCUCAAGAAGCCGAGACAAAAACCGUAAGAGCAGAGAAAAAGGGAAGAAGAGUGAAGAGAAGGAUUACAACGGGAGGCAGUCCACCGAGAAAGACAGGGAGGAAGAGCGGGAGAAGGUGAACGAGAAAGACACUAACACCAAGAUCAGUGAAACCAAGACACCGAGUGAAAAUGACAAGACAGAGGAGACACCCAUGGAGCAGGAGACAAAAACACCAGCAGCCAUUGAAUCAGAAGGUGACUCAAAAUAUGAUGCUUGAGGUACCUUGAAGACAUCACAGGUAAGUGAAAACAAUGACGGCAUACCUUGCUGCUGUUAGUGUAAACGCCUUUCACUUUCCAGCUCAACAGGUGAGUGAACGUUUGACAUAACCUCUCCUUCUAUGGAGCCUGCUGAAAUUUGUACUGUUAUUGAAGAUCUUUUCAUUCAUGUUUGUGAAAGUAUUUGAUAUUUUGUCAUUGGAAAAAUACAGAACAUUGUGAUUUUAGCAGGUUUCAUUUGUGGUGAUAUCUUGUGUGCAUGUGCCUACACAUGUGAAUCUGUAUGCUUUAAGUCUUUCACAACUUAGUUUAAAUAUGCAUUUUAAAUGUGUGAGGCUGCUAACAUAAGAUUUUACCUCAAUAGUAGGAACGAGAGGUUAUGAAUGUGAACACAAAUAUUUUCUGGUAUGUACAAAAUAUUAAUUAGCAUGUUUUCUUCACAUAUUUUAAAGUGUAAAUUAAGAGUCUUAUAUAAUGGUUGAAUGGCAUAAAGCAGGUCUCAUGUACAUAUAAAAUGUAGGCCAUAUCUUAAAGGACAAAGAAGCACUUAAUAUCUGCUUUUCUUUCAACCAUUUUUAUCAACCAGAAAAUAUUUUAUGUUGAUUUCUUUGAAAUCAAAUAAUUUUAACGAAAGUUUAACUCAAUAUCAUUUCAUUUAUUUUGAAGUAUGUCUAAACUGGAAAAGAUUUUUUUUUUUUUUAUCGAUUAAAAUUUAUUUCUAAUAAUAUCAGUUUAAGUAUUUUGACAUGUAAUUGCGCAUGAAGUAGUCUGAGUUUGCUUUAAUGGCCACCUAAGAUGGAGCGCCUGCUACUCUUGUAGCAUCAACUAUGUAGUGUUAAUGCCUCUCUCGCCCCAAGUGAUGCCACUAGCGUAAGACGAUGUAGCGAGAGCCAGUCAGAUGAAGGAACCACAUCACCGCUGUUCAUUUCACAAUUACGGAAUAACAAAGUUAUAUCUCACCAGGUAUUUCAUGUGGUGACAGAUUAAUAUUUAGAACAAUUUGCCUUUAAUAACAACUUGUGACCCUUUGUGGUGAUUCUAAAAGCUUCAUUUUAAAAACACCAAGUUGUUAUCAUGGGCAAUAACAUCAAUGCAUGUUCCUGUUUUGAGCUGAAGUAUUGGGUAAUUGUAUUCCACAUUUUGUAGUCACUGCUAAUGUUGUUUUAUUCAGGGAAGGGGUCAUUUCAUAAUUUGGAGGUGAACAAAAUCAAAGGAACAGUUUUCUGUGUAGUGCAAAUGUUAUUUCUAUGACAAUUCACAUUCAUAUAAAACCACAGGAAAAAGCUUCCAAGUAUAGUCGUCAAUGAAUAAGUUUUUUACAAUAUUAUCUUUCUUUUGGCAGUGAACUCAUCACAUAAUAUACAGUAAUUAUUUUACUUAUUUUAAGACUCAGAGCAAGUUAUGCCUCAACAGAUCACUGUUCCAAGAAUAGGAUGUAUUUGGCAUAUAAAUAUGGGCUUAAAAUGAUAAUUUCAUUUAUCAUUAUACCCUUGAUCCAUUUCAAAUUUCAAAAUUGAAAAGUCUACAGAAAUAUGUGGGUAGGCUGACAUAAGGAAGCACGAGAUACCAAGCUAUGUGUGACUGGUUUAAAUAUAAGGUUUCUGUUGCACUCAAGCCAAGAUGGGAGAAAUGAGGAGAGUCUGCGCUCAUCCUCCAUGAGAAUAGCCAUGGGACAUCGGAGCUGCGCUUUCAUCUCUCGUCUUAUUACGUUCAGAGAGCUUGCUCCAAGAUGCCUGUGGAGGACGAAGUCUUUCCAGAGUCGUGGAACUACCUAAAACAGAAAGAUUGUACUGGUUACAUCUGUUUACAACUUAAAUUUGGAUUAUAUGUAAUUGGGAUUUGAAAGGUUAGAUCUUUUCUGUCGAUAAGUAGAAUGUCCUCGUCUCCAUAAUUCAUUUUAUUGCCAUUUUCCACUGUAGAGAUUCAUUUCUUGUACAUUUUGUAAGUUUUUAAAGCCCACUAUUGCAGGUUCUGGAUCAGGCUACUGCAUAAAGGAUAUUAUGUUUGCUGUCCAUGAAUAAAUUUGCUGAAGUAUGA